GUCUUAGGUGAGCUAAAUGUGUGCUGGGACACAUUUGAGCCAAAUGUCCCAGCACACAUUUAGCUCACAUAAGAA
This is a microRNA precursor of Pan troglodytes (chimpanzee), 75 nucleotides long. It matches the Rfam family "mir-610 microRNA precursor family". The record is from Rfam. Lineage: Eukaryota; Metazoa; Chordata; Mammalia; Primates; Hominidae.